CUUGCAAUAUUCCUGCCUCAGCCUCCCACUUCUGAGAUUAUAGGCCAAUCCUGGCUCUAAUUUUAUUUUUUUGAGGAGUCGUCUUAUGUUUCCCAGCUGACUUUGAACUCCUGGGCUCAAGUGAUCUUCCUGUUCCUCCUCCCAGAUAACAGGGUCUCUGAGCUGGUGCAAGCUGGUUCCAGCCACCACUCUGGCAGCCAGUGUGUUCUUGUGGAGCCUGCAGUCACCUGGUUUGAGCUUCCUAAGGCCUGGCACCUGUUCUGCUCUCGCCAGGAUGCAGCACGAAAGGUCAUCCAGCCGGCCAGAAGGAGAGGCAGCUGGGAACGGCCACUCUGCUCACAGCGUGUUGUAACAUCAGCACCUGGGGUGAGAAAAGAGACCCCCCCCCAAUCCUCUGCCCUGCUGUGUCCCAGAACCUAGGCCGAACUACCCUUCCUCAGUUUUGGCCCACUUCUCUCCACUGCAGCCACAGCCUUGAGGACAGGUGGCUCCUACUCUAGAAGGAGCCAGUGCACCACCCAGCUGUGACACAGGGACCGUCCUACCCAUUCUGCUGUGCAGGCACAAGGCCCACUGGGGGACCAAAGUGCACGUUGCUGGUAUUUUCCCUUCUCUCCUUUGUCUCCCGUCUCCACACCCUCGGUCCCCACAGGAUCACUCUGAUGCUGUUGUGUGAGGCUCCUCAUUCACCUUGGCCCAGGGACGACUGGCUGUGUGGGAGAACCAAGACCCGGAAGAUCACUGGAACAGUAGGUGCACAAUGAGGAGGGUCACUGAUGAGACCCUGGCAACACCCAACCUGAGGUCCCCUUAUUAUAAGGUAGGGGAAACUAUCAUAGGCGGUCAGAGACAGGGCUAGGCCCUCGGGAGAGUCAGACAAAGGUAAAAACACAUUUCAACUGCGGCCUGAAGUGCAUCUGUCGGAGGCCAGGCCUCAAGAUAAAGAGGAAAUGACCAGAACUGAGGUAAGUGCUAGCACCUGGUCUAAUGAAGUCUAGGUGGGCAUCAGUCAGCCAGGUGGGUGACCAAACCCUCAGACUCAUUCUUUCCUGAAAAGUUCUUUGUUACUUCCAUGUAU
Molecule: long non-coding RNA, 1078 nt
Organism: Fukomys damarensis (Damara mole-rat)
Lineage: Eukaryota; Metazoa; Chordata; Mammalia; Rodentia; Bathyergidae
Exons: 3
Source: RefSeq, a predicted model, not a curated record